Molecule: ribosomal RNA, 168 nt
Filed under: bacterium enrichment culture DGGE band C1
Lineage: Bacteria
Description: partial 16S ribosomal RNA
Rfam family: Bacterial small subunit ribosomal RNA
Source: RNAcentral
UUGGACAAUGGGCGAAAGCCUGAUCCAGCCAUGCCGCGUGUGCGAAGAAGGUCUUCGGAUUGUAAAGCACUUUAAGUUGGGAGGAAGGGCAGUUACCUAAUACGUGAUUGUUUUGACGUUACCGACAGAAUAAGCACCGGCUAACUCUGUGCCAGCAGCCGCGGUAAU